Molecule: non-coding RNA, 87 nt
Organism: Podarcis lilfordi (Lilford's wall lizard)
Lineage: Eukaryota; Metazoa; Chordata; Lepidosauria; Squamata; Lacertidae
Source: the annotation of a GenBank genome assembly
CAUUUCAGUAUGGGAUAAGCUCUAUUGGUAGAAAAUGAGACUCUUAAUCUCAAGGUCAUGGGUUCGAGUCCUACACUGGGCAAAAGA